Sorex araneus (European shrew) is the source of this 881-nucleotide long non-coding RNA. RefSeq lists it as uncharacterized. The record is from RefSeq and is a predicted model, not a curated record. The transcript is spliced from 3 exons. NCBI's taxonomy places the organism in Eukaryota, Metazoa, Chordata, Mammalia, Eulipotyphla, Soricidae.
GGGAGAAGAGGCCAGCGCACCAAGGCUGGGAGUUGGGGCGACAUUCCUCGGCCCCGAUGGCACGGGUGUCUGCCCCGCUGUGCCCUGCAGGACAGAUGGAUCAGUCGCCAGCAAGACUUCCUGCAGGGUACGCUGUGCAGACUCAUCUGUGGAUGCCCUCAGCAGGUCACCCAGGCAGGGCUCGACCCAUAGGACGGAGAUAGUAAUUGAUACUAAGCAGAACCCAAGGAGAACCGGCAUGAGGUGCUGGCUGGCACAGAGACGCAUCAAAGAAUCACACUGCCCUCUGGCGGCCAAAGCACAGCCCACCGCUCCUCCUACAGGAAGCCCUCCUGGACGUCCACAACCCCAUGGCAACUGGGAGCGUUUUACCGAUUCAAAUGCCUCUUCCCUCCCCCGCCCCUCAGGACCUGACCCCACAGCCCCUCCGUGGUGUUCCCCAAGGGUUCCUCCUACUUGCUGUUCCCGCAGUGAGCGGCCGUGAGCACCCAACUCUUGUCCACCAGGACGCCCGCACAGUGGAACGAGAGGCCGUUGAAGAGUGAGACCUGCCAGGGCUGCGAGCCGCGCGGGCACGGGACGCUGGAGGCCGCGAGGUCCCGGGCGGUGCCGUUUGCGAGGAGCAGCCCCGCCUCUGUGGCUGCAGGAGAAGGAGCGAUCAGAGCAGGGCGACUGCCCGGCCCGGGCGUUUUGAGCGACCCCCCGGAGGGUUAGCAGAAAGGAAGAUGGGUGGGGGAACCCCGGGAGAGGACCCAGGGGAAAAAUCAAGGGGCGCGGUCAUUCUUCAGUGCAACGCCAGGAGCGACCCCGAGCAUCGCUGAGUGUGACCCCCCCCAACUCUCCCCCCUAGUAAAAUAAAAUAAAACGGGGCUGAUGUUCUG